AGUGAACGCUGGCGGCAGGCCUAACACAUGCAAGUCGAACGGCAGCACAGCAGUAGCAAUACUGUGGGUGGCGAGUGGCGGACGGGUGAGGAAUACAUCGGAAUCUGCCUAGUCGUGGGGGAUAACGUAGGGAAACUUACGCUAAUACCGCAUACGACCUACGGGUGAAAGCGGGGGAUCGCAAGACCUCGCGCGAUUAGAUGAGCCGAUGUCCGAUUAGCUAGUUGGCGGGGUAAUGGCCCACCAAGGCGACGAUCGGUAGCUGGUCUGAGAGGAUGAUCAGCCACACUGGAACUGAGACACGGUCCAGACUCCUACGGGAGGCAGCAGUGGGGAAUAUUGGACAAUGGGCGCAAGCCUGAUCCAGCCAUGCCGCGUGGGUGAAGAAGGCCUUC
Molecule: ribosomal RNA, 395 nt
Filed under: uncultured bacterium
Lineage: Bacteria
Description: bacterial SSU rRNA
Rfam family: Bacterial small subunit ribosomal RNA
Source: RNAcentral